AAAUACCAAGGACAGUAAUUCAGCUCAAUAAUCAUGCCACAUGUUCUGAUUGCUUGCAGUGCAAGUGUUGCUGCAAUCAAAAUACCAGAUAUUAUAUCUCAACUCGUUCAAAAGAACAUUUGCGCAACAUUAGUCGUCACAGAAGCUAGUAAACAUUUUUUAGAUGUCGAUAAAAUUAGAAACGAUUUUAAAAUUGAUGUUUAUACUGAUCAAAAUGAAUGGGAUGCUUGGAAAACUAGAGGAGAUCCCGUUUUGCAUAUAGAACUUUCAAAAAAAGCAGAUUUAUUGGUACUUGCCCCUUUGAGUGCUAAUACUAUGGCUAAAGUGAGUACAGGAAUUUGUGACAACUUAUUAACAUGCAUUGUUAGAGCUUGGAAUGUUUCAAAACCGGUAUUGUUUUGUCCGUCAAUGAAUACUCAAAUGUGGAAUCAUCCAGUAACUAAAGAUCAAGUGGAUAAAUUGGCGUCAUGGGGAUAUUACCUGAUUCCUCCAAUUGUUAAGACAUUAAUGUGUGGUGAUCACGGUAUUGGUGCAAUGGCCGAAGUAGAAACUAUUAAUUGGAUCAGAAAAAUGUGUGAUAAUUCGUCUUUCGGGCCCCAUAAAAAAGCACUGGGCCCAAACUAAAUCACUUCAAUUGGACGAACUUCUCAGUGAUGGUGAAAUGAAGGAACAACACAGAAAGUCAAUGAUUGAAUGGAGUGAAAAUGUACGCACAAAUGAUAAUGGUUAUUUUUGUCGUAUGGCAAUAGAUAUGUAUGAUCAAAACCAUUCAAAAGAUAUAUGGAUUGUGAGUGAUGCUAGAAGAAAGACUGAUAUUGCAUGGUUCAAAUCAAAUUAUAAUAAUUUAAAACUGAUUAGAAUCACUGCAGAUGAAUGCACAAGAAAAGAAAGAGGAUGGAACUUUAUACAGGGAGUUGACGAUGCAACAUCAGAAUGUGAUUUGGAUGACUAUUUAGAAUGGGAUUGGAUUGUUGAAAACAAUAAAUUUAAUGAUUGCAAUGACUUUAUAAAUGAAAUUGUGAACCAUGUACUAACGGUUUGAUGAUAUUUAUUUUAUAUACUUAAAUAGCUUCAAUAUAUUUUAUACAAUAUACAUACAUUCUAUGCACUGGUUUAUGUAUUUAUCAAGCUCACUCAUGUUAAAUAAAUUUACUUAAAGUAAUUAAUAUAUUUUUACAAUGCAUUAUUAUACGAAUAACGAAUUUACUAUAAUUAUUGUUUCAUUAAUAUAGAACUGUACCUAAUA
Molecule: RNA transcript, 1246 nt
Organism: Acyrthosiphon pisum (pea aphid)
Lineage: Eukaryota; Metazoa; Arthropoda; Insecta; Hemiptera; Aphididae
Gene name: phosphomevalonate kinase-like
Exons: 5
Source: RefSeq, marked provisional